RNAcentral lists this ribosomal RNA (824 nucleotides) under Pseudomonas sp. ER-44. Its description in RNAcentral is "bacterial SSU rRNA". It matches the Rfam family "Bacterial small subunit ribosomal RNA", at positions 56 to 875 of the family's 1533-position model. The record is from RNAcentral. Lineage: Bacteria; Pseudomonadati; Pseudomonadota; Gammaproteobacteria; Pseudomonadales; Pseudomonadaceae.
UGCAAGUCGAGCGGUAGAAGGAAGCUUGCUUCCUUUGAGAGCGGCGGACGGGUGAGUAAUGCCUAGGAAUCUGCCUGGUAGUGGGGGAUAACGUUCGGAAACGAACGCUAAUACCGCGUACGUCCUACGGGAGAAAGCAGGGGACCUUCGGGCCUUGCGCUAUCAGAUGAGCCUAGGUCGGAUUAGCUUGUUGGUGAGGUAAUGGCUCACCAAGGCAACGAUCCGUAACUGGUCUGAGAGGAUGAUCAGUCACACUGGAACUGAGACACGGUCCAGACUCCUACGGGAGGCAGCAGUGGGGAAUAUUGGACAAUGGGGGAAACCCUGAUCCAGCCAUGCCGCGUGUGUGAAGAAGGUCUUAGGAUUGUAAAGCACUUUAAGUUGGGAGGAAGGGUUGUAGCUUAAUACGCUGCAACUUUGACGUUACCGACAGAAUAAGCACCGGCUAACUCUGUGCCAGCAGCCGCGGUAAUACAGAGGGUGCAAGCGUUAAUCGGAAUUACUGGGCGUAAAGCGCGCGUAGGUGGCAAGGUAAGAUGGGUGUGAAAUCCCCGGGCUCAACCUGGGAACUGCAUCCAUAACUGCUUCGCUAGAGUACGGUAGAGGGUAGUGGAAUUUCCUGUGUAGCGGUGAAAUGCGUAGAUAUAGGAAGGAACACCAGUGGCGAAGGCGACUACCUGGACUGAUACUGACACUGAGGUGCGAAAGCGUGGGGAGCAAACAGGAUUAGAUACCCUGGUAGUCCACGCCGUAAACGAUGUCAACUAGCCGUUGGGAACCUUGAGUUCUUAGUGGCGCAGCUAACGCACUAAGUUGACCGCCUG